UAACCUGCCCAAGAGACUGGGAUAACACCUGGAAACAGAUGCUAAUACCGGAUAACAACACUAGACGCAUGUCUAGAGUUUAAAAGAUGGUUCUGCUAUCACUCUUGGAUGGACCUGCGGUGCAUUAGCUAGUUGGUAAGGCAACGGCUUACCAAGGCAAUGAUGCAUAGCCGAGUUGAGAGACUGAUCGGCCACAUUGGGACUGAGACACGGUCCAAACUCCUACGGGAGGCAGCAGGC
Molecule: ribosomal RNA, 240 nt
Filed under: uncultured bacterium
Lineage: Bacteria
Description: partial 16S ribosomal RNA
Rfam family: Bacterial small subunit ribosomal RNA
Source: RNAcentral